Molecule: microRNA, 17 nt
Filed under: Corchorus capsularis
Lineage: Eukaryota; Viridiplantae; Streptophyta; Magnoliopsida; Malvales; Malvaceae
Description: sRNA CCACVL1_28980
Source: RNAcentral
AGCUGGUUUUGUCAAUC